CAGCUACAACCACACAUCUCAGGUUCAAGAAGCUAGCGAUAGCCGCCUCGAGAUGGUGAGUCUAAGUAUAAA
RNAcentral lists this small RNA (72 nucleotides) under uncultured Fructobacillus sp. The record is from RNAcentral. Lineage: Bacteria; Bacillati; Bacillota; Bacilli; Lactobacillales; Lactobacillaceae.